This 2931-nucleotide ribosomal RNA is filed under the name Yersinia pseudotuberculosis. RNAcentral's name for it is "bacterial LSU rRNA". It matches the Rfam family "Bacterial large subunit ribosomal RNA". The record is from RNAcentral. Lineage: Bacteria; Pseudomonadati; Pseudomonadota; Gammaproteobacteria; Enterobacterales; Yersiniaceae.
GGGUUGUGAGGUUAAGCGACUAAGCGUACACGGUGGAUGCCUAGGCAGUCAGAGGCGAUGAAGGGCGUGCUAAUCUGCGAAAAGCGUCGGUAAGCUGAUAUGAAGCGUUAUAACCGACGAUACCCGAAUGGGGAAACCCAGUGCAAUACGUUGCACUAUCGUUAGAUGAAUACAUAGUCUAACGAGGCGAACCGGGGGAACUGAAACAUCUAAGUACCCCGAGGAAAAGAAAUCAACCGAGAUUCCCCAGUAGCGGCGAGCGAACGGGGAGGAGCCCAGAGUCUGAAUCAGUUUGUGUGUUAGUGGAAGCGUCUGGAAAGUCGCACGGUACAGGGUGAUAGUCCCGUACACCAAAAUGCACAGGCUGUGAACUCGAUGAGUAGGGCGGGACACGUGACAUCCUGUCUGAAUAUGGGGGACCAUCCUCCAAGGCUAAAUACUCCUGACUGACCGAUAGUGAACCAGUACCGUGAGGGAAAGGCGAAAAGAACCCCGGCGAGGGGAGUGAAAUAGAACCUGAAACCGUGUACGUACAAGCAGUGGGAGCACCUUCGUGGUGUGACUGCGUACCUUUUGUAUAAUGGGUCAGCGACUUAUAUUUUGUAGCAAGGUUAACCGAAUAGGGGAGCCGUAGGGAAACCGAGUCUUAACUGGGCGUCUAGUUGCAAGGUAUAGACCCGAAACCCGGUGAUCUAGCCAUGGGCAGGUUGAAGGUUGGGUAACACUAACUGGAGGACCGAACCGACUAAUGUUGAAAAAUUAGCGGAUGACUUGUGGCUGGGGGUGAAAGGCCAAUCAAACCGGGAGAUAGCUGGUUCUCCCCGAAAGCUAUUUAGGUAGCGCCUCGUGAACUCAUCUUCGGGGGUAGAGCACUGUUUCGGCUAGGGGGCCAUCCCGGCUUACCAAACCGAUGCAAACUCCGAAUACCGAAGAAUGUUAUCACGGGAGACACACGGCGGGUGCUAACGUCCGUCGUGAAGAGGGAAACAACCCAGACCGCCAGCUAAGGUCCCAAAGUCAUGGUUAAGUGGGAAACGAUGUGGGAAGGCACAGACAGCCAGGAUGUUGGCUUAGAAGCAGCCAUCAUUUAAAGAAAGCGUAAUAGCUCACUGGUCGAGUCGGCCUGCGCGGAAGAUGUAACGGGGCUAAACCAUGCACCGAAGCUGCGGCAGCGACGUUUAGGCGUUGUUGGGUAGGGGAGCGUUCUGUAAGCCGUUGAAGGUGACCUGUGAGGGUUGCUGGAGGUAUCAGAAGUGCGAAUGCUGACAUAAGUAACGAUAAUGCGGGUGAAAAACCCGCACGCCGGAAGACCAAGGGUUCCUGUCCAACGUUAAUCGGGGCAGGGUGAGUCGACCCCUAAGGCGAGGCUGAAAAGCGUAGUCGAUGGGAAACAGGUUAAUAUUCCUGUACUUGGUGUUACUGCGAAGGGGGACGGAGAAGGCUAGGCUGGCCGGGCGACGGUUGUCCCGGUUUAAGCGUGUAGGGGGAGUGACCAGGUAAAUCCGGUUGCUUAUCAACCCUGAGGCGUGAUGACGAUGCACUACGGUGCAGAAGCAGUUGAUGCCAUGCUUCCAGGAAAAGCCUCUAAGCAUCAGGUAACAUUAAAUCGUACCCCAAACCGACACAGGUGGUCAGGUAGAGAAUACUCAGGCGCUUGAGAGAACUCGGGUGAAGGAACUAGGCAAAAUGGUGCCGUAACUUCGGGAGAAGGCACGCUGGCGUUAGGUGAAAGGACUAGCUCCUGGAGCUGAAGCCAGUCGCAGAUACCAGCUGGCUGCAACUGUUUAAUAAAAACACAGCACUGUGCAAACACGAAAGUGGACGUAUACGGUGUGACGCCUGCCCGGUGCUGGAAGGUUAAUUGAUGGGGUCAGCCGCAAGGCGAAGCUCUUGAUCGAAGCCCCAGUAAACGGCGGCCGUAACUAUAACGGUCCUAAGGUAGCGAAAUUCCUUGUCGGGUAAGUUCCGACCUGCACGAAUGGCGUAAUGAUGGCCAGGCUGUCUCCACCCGAGACUCAGUGAAAUUGAACUCGCUGUGAAGAUGCAGUGUACCCGCGGCAAGACGGAAAGACCCCGUGAACCUUUACUAUAGCUUGACACUGAACAUUGAGCCUUGAUGUGUAGGAUAGGUGGGAGGCAUUGAAGUGUGGACGCCAGUCUGCAUGGAGCCAACCUUGAAAUACCACCCUUUAAUGUUUGAUGUUCUAACUCGGCCCCAUGAUCUGGGGUGAGGACAGUGUCUGGUGGGUAGUUUGACUGGGGCGGUCUCCUCCCAAAGAGUAACGGAGGAGCACGAAGGUUAGCUAAUCACGGUCGGACAUCGUGAGGUUAGUGCAAAGGCAUAAGCUAGCUUGACUGCGAGAGUGACGGCUCGAGCAGGUACGAAAGUAGGUCUUAGUGAUCCGGUGGUUCUGAAUGGAAGGGCCAUCGCUCAACGGAUAAAAGGUACUCCGGGGAUAACAGGCUGAUACCGCCCAAGAGUUCAUAUCGACGGCGGUGUUUGGCACCUCGAUGUCGGCUCAUCACAUCCUGGGGCUGAAGUAGGUCCCAAGGGUAUGGCUGUUCGCCAUUUAAAGUGGUACGCGAGCUGGGUUUAGAACGUCGUGAGACAGUUCGGUCCCUAUCUGCCGUGGGCGUUGGAAGAUUGAGAGGGGCUGCUCCUAGUACGAGAGGACCGGAGUGGACGAAUCACUGGUGUUCGGGUUGUCAUGCCAAUGGCAUUGCCCGGUAGCUAAAUUCGGAAGAGAUAACCGCUGAAAGCAUCUAAGCGGGAAACUUGCCUCGAGAUGAGUCUUCCCUGGGGCUUAAAGCCCCCUGAAGGAACGUUAAAGACUAUGACGUUGAUAGGCUGGGUGUGUAAGUGCAGCGAUGUAUUGAGCUAACCAGUACUAAUGAUCCGUGAGGCUUAACCUUACAACACCGAAGGUGUUU